This 1986-nucleotide ribosomal RNA is filed under the name Dorea longicatena. RNAcentral describes it as "bacterial LSU rRNA". It matches the Rfam family "Bacterial large subunit ribosomal RNA", at positions 407 to 2419 of the family's 2925-position model. The record is from RNAcentral. Lineage: Bacteria; Bacillati; Bacillota; Clostridia; Lachnospirales; Lachnospiraceae.
CCAGAGUAGGUCGAGACACGUGGAACCUUGACUGAAUAUGCGGGGACCACCCCGUAAGGCUAAAUACUCCUUAGUGACCGAUAGCGCAUAGUACUGUGAAGGAAAGGUGAAAAGGACCCCGGGAGGGGAGUGAAAAAGAACCUGAAACCAUAUGUUUACAAGCUGUGGAACCACUUUAAAUGUGGAACCGCGUACUUUUUGUAGAACGGUCCGGCGAGUUACGCUGGCUGGCGAGGUUAAGUCCUUAAGGGAUGGAGCCGAAGGGAAACCAAGUCUGAAUAGGGCGAAGAGUCAGUCGGAGUAGACCCGAAACCGGGUGACCUAUCCAUGUCCAGGAUGAAGUUGCCGUAAAAGGCAAUGGAGGUCCGAACCCACAUCCGUUGAAAAGGGUGGGGAUGAGGUGUGGAUAGGGGAGAAAUUCCAAUCGAACCCGGAGAUAGCUGGUUCUCCUCGAAAUAGCUUUAGGGCUAGCCUCAUACAAGUCUUGCGGAGGUAGAGCACUGAAUUUCCUAGGGGGCGUCAAAGCUUACCGAAGAAUAUCAAACUCCGAAUGCCGCGUAGAUGGUGUAUGGGAGUCAGACUGCACGAGAUAAGUUGGGUAGUCAAAAGGGAAAGAGCCCAGACCUGCAGCUAAGGUCCCAAAAUGUGUGUUAAGUGGAAAAGGAUGUGGGAUUUCGAAGACAACUAGGAUGUUGGCUCAGAAGCAGCCAUACAUUCAAAGAGUGCGUAAUAGCUCACUAGUCGAGAGGUCCUGCGCCGAAAAUGUCCGGGGCUGAAACACACUACCGAAGCUCAGGAAUGUACUUGUACAUUGGUAGAGGAGCAUUGUAUACGGGAAGAAGCAGUACCGAUAAGGAGCUGUGGACUGUAUAGAAGAGAGAAUGCCGGAAUGAGUAGCGAGAGGAAGGUGAGAAUCCUUCCGGCCGAAUAUCUAAGGUUUCCAGAGUAAAGCUGAUCUGCUCUGGGUAAGUCGGGGCCUAAGGCCAGGUCGAAAGACGUAACCGAUGGACAACAGGUUGAAAUUCCUGUACCGCGAUAUAACAGAACUGUGGGGACACGUGUGGAGAGCACAAGCCGGGAAUGGAAAGCCCGGCGCAAGCAAGGUAGGAGUCGUACUGGCAAAUCCGUACGGCAAUCCGAAGAUGUGAUGCGUACCGAAUUAAGAGUAGGGAAGAGUGUGAGCCAUGCGUCAAGAAAAGCCGCUAUUGUUUGUAUCGCGCCCGUACCGUAAACCGACACAGGUGGAUGAGGAGAGAAUCCUAAGGCCGACGGGAGAAGCAUUGUUAAGGAACUCGGCAAAAUGACUCCGUAACUUCGGGAGAAGGAGUGCCACUGAGAGGUGGCCGCAGAGAAUUGGCCCAAGCAACUGUUUAGCAAAAACACAGGUCUAUGCAAAACCGAAAGGUGAAGUAUAUGGGCUGACGCCUGCCCGGUGCUGGAAGGUUAAGGGGAGAGGUUAGCGCAAGCGAAGCUUUGAACUUAAGCCCCAGUAAACGGCGGCCGUAACUAUAACGGUCCUAAGGUAGCGAAAUUCCUUGUCGGGUAAGUUCCGACCCGCACGAAAGGCGUAAUGAUUUGGGCACUGUCUCAACAAUGCACCCGGUGAAAUUGAAAUACCAGUGAAGAUGCUGGUUACCUGCGCCAGGACGGAAAGACCCCAUGGAGCUUUACUCCAGCUUGAUACUGGGAUUCGAUAUUGCAUGUACAGGAUAGGUGGGAGACUAGGAGACGGUAACGCCAGUUGCCGUGGAGUCGAUGUUGGGAUACCACCCUUGCAGUAUUGGGUUUCUAACCAGCAGCCGUGAUCCGGCUGGGGGACAAUGUCAGGUGGGGAGUUUGACUGGGGCGGUCGCCUCCGAAAGGGUAUCGGAGGCGCUCAAAGGUUCCCUCAGAAUGGUUGGAAACCAUUCGAAGAGUGCAAAGGCAGAAGGGAGCUUGACUGCGACACCGACGGGUGGAGCAGGUACGAAAGUAGGACUUAGUGAU